UUCGAUUUUUGAGAAAGUAAUCAUGUUGGGAGUCUGGCUCUCGAGAUUCGGAGGGCGAUGCCUCUUCGAUUUUGGAGCAAGCAAUCUUGUUGGGAGUGUUUUCUCGAAUGUGAGUAAAGGUUGGGCAUGUUUGCUAGUCUACCUUGCCACGAAGCACAGAGGUUGACACACAUGGACUUUCCAAUUAUCCAGCAGUGGUACUGUUCCUUUACCCUCUCUUCGAUUUUUGAGAAAGUAAUCAUGUUGGGAGUCUGGCUCUCGAGAUUCGGAGGGCGGUGCCUCUUCGAUUUUGGGGCAAGCAAUCUUGUUGGGAGUGUUUUCUCAAAUGUGAGUAAAGGUUGGGCAUGUUUGAUAGUCUACCUUGCCACGAAGCACAGAGGUUAACACACCGGGACUUUCCAAUUAUCCAGCAGUGGUACUGUUCCUUUACCCUUGUGGGUAAUAAUAUGGUAGCUAGACCUUCAAAAUUUAUGUGUCUAAACUUUGUUAGUGUUGU
This 496-nucleotide long non-coding RNA is filed under the name Malus domestica (apple). Its description in RNAcentral is "long non-coding RNA (MDOM_LNC006425)". Lineage: Eukaryota; Viridiplantae; Streptophyta; Magnoliopsida; Rosales; Rosaceae. The record is from RNAcentral.